GACGAACGCUGGCGGCGUGCCUAAUACAUGCAAGUCGAGCGAACUUUUGGGAGCUUGCUCCCAAAAGUUAGCGGCGGACGGGUGAGUAACACGUGGGCAACCUGCCUAUAAGACUGGGAUAACUUCGGGAAACCGGAGCUAAUACCGGAUAAUUCUUUUCUACACAUGUAGAAAAGCUAAAAGACGGUUUACGCUGUCACUUAUAGAUGGGCCCGCGGCGCAUUAGCUAGUUGGUGAGGUAACGGCUCACCAAGGCCACGAUGCGUAGCCGACCUGAGAGGGUGAUCGGCCACACUGGGACUGAGACACGGCCCAGACUCCUACGGGAGGCUG
RNAcentral lists this ribosomal RNA (333 nucleotides) under uncultured Bacillota bacterium. RNAcentral's name for it is "bacterial SSU rRNA". It matches the Rfam family "Bacterial small subunit ribosomal RNA", at positions 28 to 351 of the family's 1533-position model. The record is from RNAcentral. Lineage: Bacteria; Bacillati; Bacillota.